GGCUGGUCUGGGUGCAGUGGUAUUUAGAACUAAUUGAUCACAACCCGUUACAGAUUCCUUUGUUCCUUCUCCGCUCUCACUGCUUCACUUGACUUGCCUAAA
Molecule: Y RNA, 102 nt
Filed under: Prolemur simus (greater bamboo lemur)
Lineage: Eukaryota; Metazoa; Chordata; Mammalia; Primates; Lemuridae
Description: Y RNA (ENSPSMG00000007793.1)
Rfam family: Y RNA
About the family: Y RNAs are components of the Ro ribonucleoprotein particle (Ro RNP), in association with Ro60 and La proteins. The Y RNAs and Ro60 and La proteins are well conserved, but the function of the Ro RNP is not known. In humans the RNA component can be one of four small RNAs -- hY1, hY3, hY4 and hY5.
Source: Rfam by way of RNAcentral